GUGGGGGAUAUUGCACAAUGGGGGAAACCCUGAUGCAGCGACGCCGCGUGAGUGAAGAAGUAUUUCGGUAUGUAAAGCUCUAUCAGCAGGGAAGAAAAGCUGACCGAAAGGUCAGCGGACAGUACCUGAAUAAGAAGCCCCGGCUAACUACGUGCCAGCAGCCGCGGUAAUACGUAGGGGGCAAGCGUUAUCCGGAUUUACUGGGUGUAAAGGGAGCGUAGACGGUUAUGUAAGUCUGAAGUGAAAGCCCGGGGCCCAACCCCGGGACUGCUUUGGAAACUGUGUAACUAGAGUACAGGAGGGGCAGGCGGAAUUCCUGGUGUAGCGGUGAAAUGCGUAGAUAUCAGGAGGAACACCGGCGGCGAAGGCGGCCUGCUGGACUGAAACUGACGUUGAGGCUCGAAAGCGUGGGGAGCAAACAGG
This 423-nucleotide ribosomal RNA is filed under the name uncultured bacterium. RNAcentral's name for it is "bacterial SSU rRNA". It matches the Rfam family "Bacterial small subunit ribosomal RNA", at positions 354 to 776 of the family's 1533-position model. The record is from RNAcentral.